UGUUCUCUCUCCACAGGUGUGGUUCUUCCUUUUGUUCAGAGUACCAAUGCUACAACAUCAGGACCACUUUGUUAUCACUGAGCAACCAUUUUGGUCAUCAGAGCAUCUUGUGCCACAUUUAUCGAACUUCCCCCAUCCUGUGGUACGGCGUCAUCCAACAUCACAAGAAUCGAGACUCAUCAGUUGCCUCAUUCAUCUGUUAAACACGGACCGUGGCGUCCCCGUCUGCACGGGCUCCUGAACCACCGACAAGAACAGUAGAUAGGAACUCAGCCUUAGCCACCUGCCAUCCCUGUGCACUGGACUGUUCUCUGAGCUUCAGUUUUCUCAUCUGGAACCAGUCAGGAGAACGCCCACCUUGGGCUUUAAGAGGAAGUGUUUGAUAGGAUAAUAUACCAAAGAUGAAGCCCGAACCAUCGAACCAUCCCCUGACCGAACCAUCUCACUCCGACUUAGAAGAGGAUGAGUAACCCCCCCCCCCCUCUGCCAUCUUAGUCCCAGGCCAGAGGCUCCCGGAGUGGUUAUGACCUUGGGCAGUGCCCUUACCUGUGCUUCCUGGAUGAGCUGGGAUGCAGGAGAGUCAGACACCAAGCAGAGUAGAUAGCACAGCAGAGAUGCUUAACUUCCUAGAGAAGGAGAGAGGGUUUGGAGUUAGUUGAGAGUACAGCCAGGGGUUGGGCUUCCUAAGUGAACAUGACAUCCAGUGUCCUCAGUCACUGUGAUCUCCAUCCAAGGCUGCCACUGCUUUUUAUCAGUUCCAGCAAAGGGCUGGGUAGGAUGGGCCUCUGUCUGGCAUCAGAUCAAACUCCUGGCUCCUUCUCCACUUAACCUGCUAGCUGUUGCCCAUCUUGUUUACUGGCUCAGGAAAUGCUUGGGUGGUACCACCAGGGUAUCUGGUGUCAACAGAUACAUUCUGUUGUCAAUCAUGUCUGGUUUCUAGUCCUGGCUUUGGGGAUAUCUACUGCAUCUCCCCGCAUCUCUGCUUCCUCUUCUGUAUAAUGGGGCUUUAAUGGUGCCUACCUCCUGUGUGCCAGCUGGAUCCUGGCUGCAGAGGCACAUAGAUGAGAGCCCCUUAAAUCCUAAUUACAUCCCUCACUUCAGUCCUGGUGGUGCCAAUCUUGCUGCAAGAUGCCAGCAUUGGCUCAUCUGUGUCUGUUCCCAGGCCUUUCCCAAGGUCUGGCAAUGUCAGCAUCUCGCCAGUGUUUGUUGACUGAGCCUGCUCCCAUGGUCUGGUAGACCUGUCUUUACACACUGAGGAUUAGAGAGGUCCAAUUUAACGGAGAGCAGAGGUGGGGGGGCAGUUGACGUGAUGGUCCAGUUCACAUGGAGGUAUGCAUGGAGCUCGGAUCCCAACCCAUAGCCCAUAAACUGUCUGUCCAGCUGCUGAACUCAGGGCCUGGUGGGCCUCUUCUUGGCCGAGCACCAGAUGUAGGCUAUUGAGGGGGGGGCUGCAACAUCUUACCCAGUUCCUCCCAGUGCAACCUAUCACUUCCUCCUGGACUCUCUCUGUCUUCUUUCCAGUAACAGUCCUACUUCAGGUACAAUGGUCAUUUAACAAAGUGGGGGCUGAGGUUCAGAGGACCACUGACCCCUCUCCCAUAGCCUAUGUGACUAUGUUUAACCUUCAGCAUACACAGCUUCGGCCCUUAGCCCCACUGUUGGAAUAGGGGCUCCUUCAGGAUGCUCUCCAGGACCCAGGACUGAGCAGGUUUUGACUUGUGGUAGUGAAAAGCGUCAAUUCUCACACGGACUAGCUCCUUUCACAGACUAGCUAUUCUAACUACACAGGGGAGGGUCUCAGUUUCAGCACUGUCUUAAACGGCUCACUAUCUGACCAGUCCAGUGUCACAGCUUUCUUCUGCAGAGGAUGACAAAGAGGCUCAAUAAGGACUUGACCCACACAGUUCAAGCUCAGAUCCCCACUGGUCUUAAACAGAAGUGAGAUGUGAAGAGCUGCCAAGAAAGCAGCCAACUGAAAUAUACUGCAGGCUUGUCAAGGCUAGCCCUCCCCAGGAGUAGCAGGAACUUCCCUGAGAAAAUGAGCUGGGGGUUGAAACCUAGAGAGACCAAGAGAACGGUUGAAUGCAAAGGGCUCGCCAGACAGAGGGAACACUGCCUGCAAACUCAUGCAGAGAGUGUGGUCCAGUAGGGGAAUUCAGAAGCACGUGGCUGGCCUUGAGGCAGGGUCCUCAGGGCAGCCAGGGAGAGAUGGGCCUCAGAGUCGUGUCUCUGGGGUAGUAGGGGAUGGGAUUUGAGUGCAGGGGAAGCUGGGAGCUUGGCAUAGUCUUGCCGGGGGGUUGGGCAGAGAGAGGCAUGGGACAGACAUUUGGAGUAUGGAGAUGGGAGAAGCAGAAGCAGGCUCUCUGUGCUUGAGGGGGUGUGGGGUUGGGGAAGAAGGGACCCAGCCUCCUGGGCUGGGUGCAGUAGAGACUUGGGAGAGGUUGUAAAUCACCCAUCCUGGGAAGCUCUCUGAUCGACCUCAAGAAAAUCUCUGUGGCAGGCUCUGGUCCCAGCCCCAGCUCCUGUCCUAGCCUCAGCAGCUACUAGAUCGUUCCCCAGUGUCAAUCUCACUCUGUUGAACUUGGCAACGGCAGCUUAUAAGGGCUCCCACCACCCCUGUCCCCACUGGUCACUCCAUUUCUAUCCUGCAACCUUGCUGAGUUUCCCAUGACCCAGGGUAUCUGCUCUUUCUGUUUCUUCUGCCCCUGGUGCUGCAUGUUUGCCCUUAGAAUAUACAGAACCUGGC
This 2746-nucleotide long non-coding RNA is filed under the name Mus musculus (house mouse). Its description in RNAcentral is "predicted gene 16248". Lineage: Eukaryota; Metazoa; Chordata; Mammalia; Rodentia; Muridae. The record is from RNAcentral.